This is a long non-coding RNA of Daphnia magna, 752 nucleotides long. RefSeq lists it as uncharacterized. The record is from RefSeq and is a predicted model, not a curated record. The transcript has 2 exons. Lineage: Eukaryota; Metazoa; Arthropoda; Branchiopoda; Diplostraca; Daphniidae.
CAAACACACGACAAACAAUCACAAAUGGAUAUUGUUCAAAUGUGUUUUAAAUUUUGUUUUAAAAUACAUUCGUAAAAAGAGCAUACGGCACAGGUUUAAAUUAGUUUAUAGCUUUAUCUGCGAAUUACAAACACUUAACAGGUACAGAAAGUUGAUGGAAAAGUGACCUGAUGUCACUUAACUUGUAGCAAACAAGGAAACUGGUAAGUUAUGGAGACUUAUCAACUGAACUAAUCAUUGAACAAAAAACUGGUAAAGUUAUGAGAAAGUGAUUUAGUUAGUGAACUGUAACGAACAAAGGAACUGGUAAACUAAUGGAAAAGUGAUUCAUGUCACUGAAGUGGUAACGAACAAAAAACAUUAAGCAUGUUUUGAUAAUUUGCCAUUGGAAACUUUUACAGCUUUUGACUGCGAUAAUAUCAAAUUCUUCAAGCGAACUGACUCGAAAUGGUAACGGACGCCAACAUAUUCUCUUAUUAGCAUACAUCUGACCAAUCGGAUUGAAAUGAGAUUCAAUUAUUGACUCAAUUACCCGGAAAGUUUGAAACAUAUUAACUGUCACGAAAAUGAGGUUACCACGGGUUCUCAAGCCAGUGAAAUGGUCAAAAUUGAAAUCAGGUGGUAAUUCUAAUUCGUCGCAUUGCACUGAAUGUUUACAAUCAAGAAAUACUGUUACAGACGGUCGUGCUUUUAACAUGUAUCCACAUACAUCAUAUAUAGCGAUAUCAUUAAUAUAGUCGACUUUUUCUCGU